Molecule: ribosomal RNA, 531 nt
Filed under: Gammaproteobacteria bacterium
Lineage: Bacteria; Pseudomonadati; Pseudomonadota; Gammaproteobacteria
Description: partial 23S ribosomal RNA
Rfam family: Bacterial large subunit ribosomal RNA
Source: RNAcentral
UUGCAAUAGUGCGUGGAUGAGGUGUGGAUAGGAGUGAAAGGCUAAUCAAGGCUGGCGAUAGCUAGUUCUCCCCGAAAGCUAUUUAGGUAGUGCCUCGAGUCAACACUCAGGGGGGUAGAGCACUGUUUGGAGAAGGGGGCCAUCACGGCCUACCAACUCCAUGCAAACUCCGAAUACCCUGAAGUGAUACUCGGGAGACACACAGCGGGUGCUAACGUCCGUUGUGAAAAGGGCAACAACCCAGACCAUCAGCUAAGGUCCCAAAGUUUCGGCUAAGUGGUAAACGAUGUGAGAAGGCAUAGACAGCCAGGAGGUUGGCUUAGAAGCAGCCAUCCUUUAAAGAAAGCGUAAUAGCUCACUGGUCUAGUCGGCUUGCGCGGAAGAUUUAACGGGGCUAAGCCGAGCACCGAAGCUAUGGGUGUGCGAGACCUUCGGGUCCUGCACGCGGUAGGGGAGCGUUCUCUAAGCCUGCGAAGGUGUGCUGCGAGGCAUGCUGGAGGUAUGAGAAGUGCGAAUGCUGACAUGAGUAAC